Molecule: long non-coding RNA, 177 nt
Organism: Pseudoliparis swirei
Lineage: Eukaryota; Metazoa; Chordata; Actinopteri; Perciformes; Liparidae
Exons: 3
Source: RefSeq, a predicted model, not a curated record
GGUACAGCAUCUGGAUCACGAUGGGGUCUGACCUGUAUGCCAGUAAAGUGAGCAGCCUGGUGAAGGCCCAGUGAGCAGUUUCAGGGACAAAUGACGGCGAAGGCGUGACUCACAGGACCUCUGUCAGAGGCCAGACAAGGAUCCGGAGCCCGGAGCCGGACCCUGCUGGAGUACCAG